Non-coding RNA from Picea glauca (white spruce), 121 nucleotides. The record is from Rfam. NCBI's taxonomy places the organism in Eukaryota, Viridiplantae, Streptophyta, Pinopsida, Pinales, Pinaceae.
ACAUGUCUACAACAUAGUGUUAAUGCACCAAGUCCCAUUAGAACUCAAUGGUUAAGCGUGCUCAGGUUAGAGUAGUACUGGGAUGGGUGACUGCAUGGGAAUUCCUAGUGUUUUACAUGCC